GACGAACCGAGCGACCGUUAUUCGGAAUCACUGGGCUUAAAGGGCGCGUAGGCGGGCCGGCGAGUCCGGGGUGAAAGCCCCCAGCCCAACUGGGGAAGUGCCUCGGAUACUGCCGGCCUCGAGGGAGGUAGGGGCGUGCGGAACUUCCGGUGGAGCGGUGAAAUGCGUAGAUAUCGGAAGGAACACCGGUGGCGAAAGCGGCGCGCUGGACCUCUUCUGACGCUGAGGCGCGAAAGCCAGGGGAGCGAACGGG
This 253-nucleotide ribosomal RNA is filed under the name uncultured bacterium. RNAcentral's name for it is "partial 16S ribosomal RNA". It matches the Rfam family "Bacterial small subunit ribosomal RNA", at positions 524 to 776 of the family's 1533-position model. The record is from RNAcentral.